This 71-nucleotide ribosomal RNA is filed under the name Chitinophagales bacterium. Its description in RNAcentral is "partial 16S ribosomal RNA". It matches the Rfam family "Bacterial small subunit ribosomal RNA", at positions 1 to 71 of the family's 1533-position model. The record is from RNAcentral. Lineage: Bacteria; Pseudomonadati; Bacteroidota; Chitinophagia; Chitinophagales.
ACAAUGGAGAGUUUGAUCCUGGCUCAGGAUGAACGCUAGCGGCAGGCUUAAUACAUGCAAGUCGAGGGGCA